RNAcentral lists this ribosomal RNA (201 nucleotides) under uncultured prokaryote. RNAcentral's name for it is "partial 16S ribosomal RNA". It matches the Rfam family "Bacterial small subunit ribosomal RNA", at positions 524 to 724 of the family's 1533-position model. The record is from RNAcentral.
GACAGAGGAUGCAAGCGUUAUCCGGAAUGAUUGGGCGUAAAGCGUCUGUAGGUGGCUUUUUAAGUCUGCCGUCAAAUCCCAGGGCUCAACCCUGGACAGGCGGUGGAAACUACCAAGCUAGAGUACGGUAGGGGCGGAGGGAAUUCUCGGUGGAGCGGUGAAAUGCAUAGAUAUCGGGAGGAACACCUGUGGCGAAAGCGG